Meleagris gallopavo (turkey) is the source of this 439-nucleotide non-coding RNA. Lineage: Eukaryota; Metazoa; Chordata; Aves; Galliformes; Phasianidae. The record is from RefSeq and is a predicted model, not a curated record.
GGAGGAGCUCAGCACCUUGACUGCAUCCUGUGAGGCUGAAAGAGGAGGAGGCAUUUGAGCAGAGCUCUGCAGUUCCUUCCACCUCCUUUGGGGUGUUCCCACCCCCUCUGCUUCCUUUCUCGUUCUGUCCCUGCAGCUGAGGGACCAGAGCGGUAGCAUCAGUUUUGACUGGUGGAAAGGAGGUGGCAGGGCCAUGAUCCCAGAGGACAUUCAGAGACUCCUGGAAGAUGCUGAGUGCUUCCUGGUGGAUGGGCUGCAGAAUGAAAACUUGAGCCCUAAAGCAAGGGAGCAGAGGAACACAAUUCUCUUUGGCUUCCAGCAAGCCAAAGCCAGGUACCACUUGGAGUUUCUGCCCCGAGGUGAGUACAAGCUGGUGGGAAGGAGGGGGGAUUCUCACUGUUAGGGGGUUGUAGAGCAGGGGAGGGCUGGUUGUGUGCUG